RNAcentral lists this ribosomal RNA (595 nucleotides) under Hyphomicrobium sp. JMT1954. RNAcentral's name for it is "bacterial SSU rRNA". It matches the Rfam family "Bacterial small subunit ribosomal RNA", at positions 67 to 711 of the family's 1533-position model. Lineage: Bacteria; Pseudomonadati; Pseudomonadota; Alphaproteobacteria; Hyphomicrobiales; Hyphomicrobiaceae. The record is from RNAcentral.
CGCCCCGCAAGGGGAGUGGCAGACGGGUGAGUAACACGUGGGAACCUUCCCUAUAGUACGGAAUAGCCCAGGGAAACUUGGAGUAAUACCGUAUACGCCCGAAAGGGGAAAGAAUUUCGCUAUAGGAUGGGCCCGCGUAGGAUUAGCUAGUUGGUGAGGUAAUGGCUCACCAAGGCGACGAUCCUUAGCUGGUUUGAGAGAACGACCAGCCACACUGGGACUGAGACACGGCCCAGACUCCUACGGGAGGCAGCAGUGGGGAAUAUUGGACAAUGGGCGCAAGCCUGAUCCAGCCAUGCCGCGUGAGUGAUGAAGGCCUUAGGGUUGUAAAGCUCUUUUGCCGGGGACGAUAAUGACGGUACCCGGAGAAUAAGUCCCGGCUAACUUCGUGCCAGCAGCCGCGGUAAUACGAAGGGGACUAGCGUUGUUCGGAAUCACUGGGCGUAAAGCGCACGUAGGCGGAUUCGUAAGUCAGGGGUGAAAUCCCGGGGCUCAACCUCGGAACUGCCUUUGAUACUGCGGGUCUUGAGUCCGAUAGAGGUGGGUGGAAUUCCUAGUGUAGAGGUGAAAUUCGUAGAUAUUAGGAAGAACACCG